CCUACGGGAGGCAGCAGUGAGGAAUAUUGGUCAAUGGACGCAAGUCUGAACCAGCCAUGCCGCGUGCAGGAAGACGGCUCUAUGAGUUGUAAACUGCUUUUGUACGAGGGUAAACGCAGAUACGCGUAUCUGUCUGAAAGAAACGUACGAAUAAGGAUCGGCUAACUCCGUGCCAGCAGCCGCGGUAAGACGGAGGAUUCAAGCGUUAUCCGGAUUUAUGGGGUUUAAAGGGUGCGUAGGCGGUCGGAUAAGUUAGAGGUGAAAUCCCGAGGCUCAACUUCGGAAUUUCCUCUGAUACUGUUCGGCUAGAGCUUAGUUGCGGUAGGCGGAAUGUGUGGUGUAGCGGUGAAAUGCUU
RNAcentral lists this ribosomal RNA (356 nucleotides) under uncultured bacterium. RNAcentral describes it as "partial 16S ribosomal RNA". It matches the Rfam family "Bacterial small subunit ribosomal RNA", at positions 338 to 691 of the family's 1533-position model. The record is from RNAcentral.